Molecule: unclassified non-coding RNA, 1648 nt
Filed under: Hevea brasiliensis (rubber tree)
Lineage: Eukaryota; Viridiplantae; Streptophyta; Magnoliopsida; Malpighiales; Euphorbiaceae
Source: RNAcentral
AGAUUUUAAAUUAUUUCCCAAAAGAAAGAAAACAUGAGCACACAGCCACACACUUUACAAAUCUCAUUGGAGCUGAAAUAUAAAAUAUGAGAAACUUUUAACAAAACUAGCUAAUUAAGCUUAAUAACUUGAGAUAUGGGCAAUGAAAGAAUCUAUCUCCAUGCGAGAAGCUCCACCUUCAGCCAUUGAUCGCCGGACAGACUCACCCAGUUCUGCUGCUCUCUUUUUCAUUCCAUCUCCUUCGUCUGAAGCCAUUAGACUCUUUACAGAGCUUUCAACCAUCUUUGCUGUGACAAUCUCAUCUCUGCGCGCCCAUUCCUUAACAGUAACACCAAUCUUGAGCAACUCUGUUAUCAGGAAUGCGUUUCUUGGUUGAUCUGAAUGCAUUGGCCAAGCUGUAAUUGGAACUCCCAUAGUGAUGCUUUCCAUGCAAGAAUUCCACCCACAAUGACUCAUAAAACCUCCUGUUGCUGGGUGGGCUAAAAUCUCCAGUUGGGGUACCCAAUCUCUCACCACCAAUCCCAUGCCAUCCACUGAAUUCUCAUACCCUUUUGGGAGCUCACCUCUUCUUUCAUGAUCUCCAUUGAAAACAUCUCCUUUAUCAGCAUCCCUCAGUACCCAAAUGAAUUUUUGGUUGCUUUGUUUCAACCCAAUUGCUAGCUGCUUGAUUUGUUCAUUGUUCAUGGCCGUUGUAGUCCCAAAAGACACGUAAAUUACCGAGUUUCUUGCUUGUUUAUCUAGCCAUGCCAAACAAAUAUGUUUCCCAUUUGACCCUCUAGUCUUUGCAGGCACAGUCAAUGGAUUAAAAGGCCCUAAAGCCCAAUGCUUCUUGGUCCUUUCCUCCAUUGUUCCUUUCUGUUGUUUCUCGAUCAAGUCCAUGAAAGCACCUUCUAUCAAUCUGCAUGUAUUGUACACGUACCCCGAGUUGAACGUAUGGUACUGAUACUCAGAAGCAAGCAAAUCCAAAAACUCAUCGGUGAAGCAUCCUUCAAGACUGGGAAUUUCUUCUGGGAUCACCCCAUUAUCUUGAAUAUUAUGUAUCCUCUUUCUUUCCCACCGAAACAAACUAAUGGUGAAAGCAGAUACGCUAUGGAAAAUGUAGGACUCUGCAUUGGAGAUUAAUGGAACUUCUUGAAUCACGGACGCCAUUAAAGAAUCAUGGAUGACAAUAACCUUUCUAGCCUUGCUAGAAAGCGAACGCAGAAGCAGAGACACAGGCUCUCGAAGAUGAGAUGAGGCAUUAUAGAAAGCUGGUAGCAAAUGAGAAGGGAACUUGUUUUUGGCAUUUGGGUUGGGAGGAGGGCAAGCAAAGGGAGGGAUUUCAAAGUCAUGGAAAUGGAUUCUAGAGGUGAUGCGUACAUCCCACACGUGAACGCGAAGCUUGGCCUGGCGGUUGUGGGUGGCGGUGCCGACGAAGUGGACCGGAAUGCUGUAGGAAAGGAUCAGCCUGGAGAGUUGGAGGAGCUGGUUGAGGUGGCCUUGUGCUGGGAGAGGCACCAUAACCACUACUACUUGUUAUUGUUGUAGGCCAUUUUGGUCGUUAAAUGCAUGGACUUGUUUGUUUGGAUUGUUAGCCAUAUGGUGAUAGCUUGGAGGAUUGGGUUUUAGUAAAGGUUAAGAAUGCGUUUUCUGUGUUGUUGGAUGCUGG